This 279-nucleotide ribosomal RNA is filed under the name uncultured bacterium. RNAcentral describes it as "partial 16S ribosomal RNA". It matches the Rfam family "Bacterial small subunit ribosomal RNA", at positions 506 to 784 of the family's 1533-position model. The record is from RNAcentral.
UGCCAGCCGCCGCGGUAAUACGGAGGGUGCAAGCGUUGUUCGGAAUUACUGGGCGUAAGGCGUGCGUAGGUGGAUAUUUAAGUCAGAUGUGAAAGCCCUGGGCUCAACCUGGGAAUUGCAUUCGGAACUGCCUCACUAGAGUCUAGCGGAGGGAUGGGGAAUUCCGGGUGUAGCGGUGAAAUGCGUAGAUAUCCGGAGGAACACCAGUGGCGAAGGCGACCCUCUGGGCCGAUACUGACGCUGAGGCGCGAAAGCGUGGGGAGCAAACGGGAUUAGAUA